GACACAAGCUUCUCAGCACCUAUUGCUGAUUUAAAUAUAGACACUGAUGCCCAAGGAUUGUCAAAAUGGUUUCUGUCAAUUGGGUUGAUCAUCGGACAUUUGGUCUUUCAAUGCAAGUAUAUGGUUCUGUAUCUCAUCAUGUCAUGAACAUCAUGGGUGUUGCUAUCAUGGAAACGCAGUACACAAAACAUAUUCGCGGACUCUUACACGAUGAUGAGUGCGGCAAGCUCAUCAUCCAUAAUGACUUAGCAGUUAUGCUUCAAGAUACUGAAUCGAUACCUGCUGACAUAGUUGUUAGUCUUUCAAAGAAGAAAAUUGGAUUCAGACUAGACAAUGCGGAUUUGGUGAAAAU
Molecule: long non-coding RNA, 352 nt
Organism: Panicum virgatum (switchgrass)
Lineage: Eukaryota; Viridiplantae; Streptophyta; Magnoliopsida; Poales; Poaceae
Exons: 3
Source: RefSeq, a predicted model, not a curated record